AAUCCAUAGGUUAAUGAGGCGAACCGGGGGAACUGAAACAUCUAAGUACCCCGAGGAAAAGAAAUCAACCGAGAUUCCCCCAGUAGCGGCGAGCGAACGGGGAGGAGCCCAGAGCCUGAAUCAGCAUGUGUGUUAGUGGAAGCGUCUGGAAAGGCGCGCGAUACAGGGUGACAGCCCCGUACACAAAAGCGCAUGUGCUGUGAGCUCGAUGAGUAGGGCGGGACACGUGGUAUCCUGUCUGAAUAUGGGGGGACCAUCCUCCAAGGCUAAAUACUCCUGACUGACCGAUAGUGAACCAGUACCGUGAGGGAAAGGCGAAAAGAACCCCGGCGAGGGGAGUGAAAAAGAACCUGAAACCGUGUACGUACAAGCAGUGGGAGCCCCACCACCAAAGCAUUUGCUGUACCGCGUUGACGGAGCGAA
Molecule: ribosomal RNA, 423 nt
Filed under: Salmonella enterica subsp. enterica serovar Typhimurium
Lineage: Bacteria; Pseudomonadati; Pseudomonadota; Gammaproteobacteria; Enterobacterales; Enterobacteriaceae
Also listed under: 1 other name
Description: partial 23S ribosomal RNA
Rfam family: Bacterial large subunit ribosomal RNA
Source: RNAcentral